GACGAACGCUGGCGGCGCGCUUAACACAUGCAAGUCGAACGGAAAGGCCUGCUUUCCCUUGUGGAUUGCGGGUACUCGAGUGGCGAACGGGUGAGUAACACGUGAGUGAUCUGCCCCCAACUUGGGUAUAAGCCUGGGAAACUGGGUCUAAUUCCCGAUAGGACUGCAGGGUGGUGCCUGUGGUGGAAAACGAUUUUCUAGUGGUUGGGGAUGAGCUCGCGGCCUAUCAGCUUGUUGGUGGGGUAAUGGCCUACCAAGGCGGCGACGGGUAGCCGGCCUGAGAGGGUGGACGGCCACAUUGGGACUGGGAUACGGCCCAGACUCGUGCGGGAGGCAGCAGUGGGGAAUAUUGCACAAUGGGCGGAAGCCUGAUGCAGCGACGCCGCGUGGGGGAUGACGGCCUUCGGGUUGUAAACUCCUUGCGACCGCGAGGAAGCCACCUGGUUGGAAGGGUGGUGACGGUAGUGGUAGAAGAAGCACCGGCUAACUACGUG
Molecule: ribosomal RNA, 494 nt
Filed under: uncultured bacterium
Lineage: Bacteria
Description: partial 16S ribosomal RNA
Rfam family: Bacterial small subunit ribosomal RNA
Source: RNAcentral